Maniola jurtina (meadow brown) is the source of this 214-nucleotide long non-coding RNA. RefSeq lists it as uncharacterized. NCBI's taxonomy places the organism in Eukaryota, Metazoa, Arthropoda, Insecta, Lepidoptera, Nymphalidae. The record is from RefSeq and is a predicted model, not a curated record. The transcript is spliced from 3 exons.
UAUAAAACAUAAAAAUAACUGUAACAUAACCUAACCUCAAUCAACUUUUUAAAAUCUUCAUAACUUUAAGCCACGACUGCAAAAUAACAUGCGACUUUUUUCUUCUUAAAAUAGAAGAUUUUUACUAUUAAAUGGCACAGAUUUCAUCUCUGUACAUUCUGGGGCACACGUCCAUACAAUUUUUGUUCAUCUCCUUUAAUAAAAAAUAAAACCG